This 428-nucleotide ribosomal RNA is filed under the name uncultured bacterium. RNAcentral's name for it is "partial 16S ribosomal RNA". It matches the Rfam family "Bacterial small subunit ribosomal RNA", at positions 354 to 796 of the family's 1533-position model. The record is from RNAcentral.
GUCGAGAAUCUUCCGCAAUGCGCGAAAGCGUGACGGAGCGACACCGCGUGAUGGAUGAAGUCCUUCGGGGCGUAAACAUCUUUUAUAAAGGAGGAAAUUUUUGACGUUACUUUAUGAAUAAGGGGCUCCCAAUCUCGUGCCAGCAGGAGCGGUAAUACGAGAGCCUCAAGCGUUAUCCGGAAUCAUUGGGCGUAAAGGGUGCGUAGGUGGUUUGAUUAGUCUCCCGUUAAAACUUCGAGCUUAACUCGAAAAGAGCGGGGGAAACGGUCAAACUAGAGUAUGUGAGAGGUGUGUGGAACUCAUGGUGUAGGGGUGAAAUCCGUUGAUAUCAUGGGGAACACCAAAAGCGAAGGCAGCACACUAGCACAUCACUGACACUGAGGCACGAAACCUAAGGUAGCGAAUGGGAUUAGAAACCCCAGUAGUCC